GACGAACGCUGGCGGCGUGUUUAACACAUGCAAGUCGAACGGUAAGGCCCUUCGGGGUACACGAGUGGCGAACGGGUGAGUAACACGUGGGUGAUCUGCCCUGCACUUCGGGAUAAGCCUGGGAAACUGGGUCUAAUACCGGAUAGGACCACUGCCUGCAUGGGUGGUGGUGGAAAGCUUUUGCGGUGUGGGGUGGGCCCGCGGCCUAUCAGCUUGUUGGUGGGGUGAUGGCCUACCAAGGCGACGACGGGUAGCCGGCCUGAGAGGGUGACCGGCCACACUGGGACUGAGAUACGGCCCAGACUCCUACGGGAGGCAGCAGUGGGGAAUAUUGCACAAUGGGCGCAAGCCUGAUGCAGCGACGCCGCGUGAGGGAUGACGGCCUUCGGGUUGUAAACCUCUUUCAGCACCGACGAAGCGCAAGUGACGGUAGGUGCAGAAGAAGGACCGGCCAACUACGUGCCAGCCGCCGCAGUAA
Molecule: ribosomal RNA, 478 nt
Filed under: uncultured bacterium
Lineage: Bacteria
Description: partial 16S ribosomal RNA
Rfam family: Bacterial small subunit ribosomal RNA
Source: RNAcentral